GCCGGGGUGGUGGAAUUGGUAGACACGCAAGCUUCAGGUGUUUGUGGGGGUAACCCCGUGGAGGUUCAAGUCCUCUCCUCGGUA
This 84-nucleotide transfer RNA is filed under the name Gammaproteobacteria bacterium. RNAcentral's name for it is "tRNA-Leu". It matches the Rfam family "tRNA". From Rfam's summary of the family: Transfer RNA (tRNA) molecules are approximately 80 nucleotides in length. The record is from RNAcentral. Lineage: Bacteria; Pseudomonadati; Pseudomonadota; Gammaproteobacteria. RNAcentral also lists the same sequence under 1 other name.